This 2169-nucleotide long non-coding RNA is filed under the name Solanum lycopersicum (tomato). Its description in RNAcentral is "long non-coding RNA (SLYC_LNC001340)". The record is from RNAcentral. Lineage: Eukaryota; Viridiplantae; Streptophyta; Magnoliopsida; Solanales; Solanaceae.
UCAGAUACUUUAUUGUGAAAGAACUCAAAUCCACGUUUAUCAUCCUCAAAAUAUUGCCUCUAAUUUUUACUCAUUACCAAAUCAGUUAUCCAAUUCAAAAGCGAUUUGAUUUUCAGACAAUUAUAUCUCUCCCUCUUUUCACUCACACAAUCAAAUUAGUUACCAUAUUAAUCAAAAUUUUGAUAGAUUUUUCUCUCCAAUAAACUAAUUUCAUAUCCGUAGAUAUUUUCAUCUUCUUCAAUUUUCUUCAUCGCUUUUUUCUUGUUUCAUCAUUUUGUCUAAUACAUAUGAACUCCUUCAUGUUGGAUUGGAAUUAUCCAAAUAGUUACACCUAAUACGAAUCAAAUCUUUGAAUCUGAUAAUCUCCAAUAGACAAAAAAAACAGAUUUAAAAUGUUACAUAAUCCUUUAACAAUGGCAAAUUAAAGUUCAGAGAAGGCAAAAGCGAAAAAGGAUGUACCUGCAACAUCGAAAGCAAAAGUUGAAAACAACGAAAAAAAUAAUCAAAAAGGUUGCCCUGCCAUAUCUCAUCAACCUACACUAUCCAGGGUAUGUAUUUUGAACCAUGUAUUUUAGUAUAUAUUUAUUUUGUUUUAAAUUUAUGUCUUUCCCUGUUGAACUAUUGAAUCCAUAAUAUUCGAGGGGAAAUUUGUUCAAGAUAUUAUGCAACACAAAAGCGAUGGUCUGUAACUAUUGAAUCAUUUUUUCUUUACUUACAUAUUUGAUUUGUUUUUAUAAUGUAUUUUUUUCUUUUCUGUAGUGACUCUGAAAUAUUUUUUGUUGUUUUUAUUGAAUUUCUGAGUGAUGAAAUCAGCAUCCCAUCUAAUGAUUUUCAAAGGCUGACUCUUAGUUGUUUCCGCCGCAGAUGCGGAAGGCCAUCCUAACAAUAAGGUCUUCCGUAUGGAGCGCUUUUUGGCUCCCCGAAGACCCCUAAAUUAGCCUAAUUAGAUUCAAUUUGCUUUUUUGUAGAUGGACAAAUUUUCUUUGACUUUUGAAGACUUGCCUACAGAAAACAGCGAAUUACUUUCGGAUAUGGACCGAACUGUCUCACGACAUUCUGAACCCAGCUCACGUACCGGUAUUGAUUUAAUAGGCAGACAUUUCUAUCUAACACUUUCCAGUAUAAAUCUUAUGGUAGACACCAAACAUGUCCCAAACUUCUCGCUCCCACCGGCCGGCUGAUGGAAAUAGACUGACUACCGGAGAUAUUCGUGUUACUUCGUCUGCACUCGAAUCGAAGGCCGAAUAGAAAGCAUUCCCCCCAGCUGACUAUCUUCGUACAAGGUAUGCAAUAAUGUUAUGAAAGUAUGGUCUCAACUAGGGGUGGGCAUUCGGUAUUUCGGUUCGAUUUCGAGUUCUUUUUCGGUUUUUUCUAUUUCUGAUUCUUGUAAAUUGUGUACCGAAUACCGAACCGAAAUAUUUCGAUUCGAUUUUUAUUAUUUCAGUUUGAUUUUUUUAUUUUGAUUUUUUAAUGGGCCCGCUUAGUGGAUUUUUUUAAAUUUUAAACAUUACAAUUUUUUUGUUUGAUUUUUCAACUUAAUGGGCUAAAAAGUAAAAACAGAUAAUACAACAAAUAAGUGCAUUACUAAUUUACUACCAAAUAUCAAUAUGUCAAGAACAAAAAAGAAAAUUACAAAAACAAACCUGACUAGGCUGGACGCCGGACGACUGCUGCUGCUGGCGGCGUCUGCUGAUGCUGGUGGAUCCUGGCGGCUGCUGCUGCUGCUGCCUGAAAGAGGAAGAUGAAAGAGGAAGUCAGGAAGAUGAUAGAGAGGAACAGGGUUUCACAAAAAGUUUUUUCUUUUUUUAAAAGAUUAUUUAACAUUAAUAAUUAUUAAUUAAUAUAAUAUAAAUUAUAGUAUAAUAUUUCGUUUUAAACCAAAAUAUCGAAUACCAAAAUAAUACGUACCGAAAAUUGAAUCGAAAUAUCGAAAAAUACAAAAAAGUAAACUGAAUAUCGAAUCGAAAUGCCGAAAUCGAAAUUCUGAAAAAUUUUGGUUCGGUUCGGUAAAUCAAUUUUCCGGUGUUUAUGCCCACCCCUAGUCUCAACAAGGCCAAGACGGGAUAUGUUAGCGAAAAUGAUGAUCCUACAAGGCUGAAAAAUGACUACACUCAACCAAUAAAAGUUGAUAUUGUUAAUUUAGAAUAAAUUUUUAUGUAUCGAUUCACC